GUAAGAUCUGUGCCUUCCGAAGAGGGUAGAGUCUUCUGGAGGGACAUUACAAAUAAUCAGGCACUCCCAGUGCUGGGAGCUAAGUUCUGUUACAGGGAAGAGAAAGAAACAAUGGGAAUACCAAGGAGGAUAUUUACAGAGGGGGAAGGCUUUGAGCUGAAAUUGAACGGUGAAUAAAGGCUGAGCAGCCAUGUAGAGACGGGGUUCCACCGUGUUAGCCAGGAUGGUCUCGAUCUCCUGACCUCGUCAUCCUCCCGCCUUGGCCUCCCAAAGUGCUGGGAUUACAGGCUUGAGCCACCGCGCCCCGCUCUUUCGUGUUCCAAAGGCUUUUUAAAUAAACUUCCACUCCUGUCCUGGAUUCUGCUUUAUGGCCCUCAGUCGAAUUCUUUCUUCUGAGGAGGCAAGGACUGAAGUUGCUUCUGACCAGUACAGAUUGGGAAGGAGAAAGUCACUUGACUCACAGGCCAACUGCUAUGGACUGAAUUGUGUCUUCCCCUCAUUAAUAUGUUGAAACCCUAUCCUCCCUCCAAUGUGAUGGUAUUUGCAGAUGGGGCUUUUGGGAAGUAAUGAAGUUUAGAUGAGGCAUGAGGGCUGGAUGGAUAUGAUCAGAUGAGUGCCCAAAGAAGAGACACCAGAGAGCUAGCUUCUUCUUUCUCUUUCCACCUUUACACACUGAGAAAAGGCCAAGUGAGCACACACCAAGAAGGCAGCCAUCUGCAAACCCAAGGAGAGAGUCCUCACUAGACACCCUGCUGGUACCUUGAUCUUGGACUUCUAGCCUCCAGAACUGUGAGAAAUAAAUUCCUGUUGUUCAAGCUA
This 819-nucleotide small RNA is filed under the name Homo sapiens (human). RNAcentral's name for it is "PPP1R3B divergent transcript (ENSG00000285236.3)". Lineage: Eukaryota; Metazoa; Chordata; Mammalia; Primates; Hominidae. The record is from RNAcentral.